Molecule: long non-coding RNA, 898 nt
Filed under: Homo sapiens (human)
Lineage: Eukaryota; Metazoa; Chordata; Mammalia; Primates; Hominidae
Description: SATB1 antisense RNA 1
Source: RNAcentral
GGGAGCUUAGAUGUGGAAGCUCUUUGGAAACCAAGAAACACUCUGAAAAUGAAAAGGGUGGAAGAGUAAACUGUUCCUGUUUCUCCAUCUUGACAGGAAGCAGAAGUUCUCCUUAGCUGAUUUUUCUUCUUGCCUUAUACUGGGUUCUUUAACACCAGAACAAAAAUAAAUAAAUAAAAGAAUCUUCCAGAAAUUCAUGAAGAGACUUCAGGUCAGGAAAGCCUGAACUUUCUCAUCCAACACCCGUUCAAGUCGGAGGAUGCUGAUUAAUUCAUGAUGGAAAGGUAUCAAUUUCACAGCCCAGACCUCUACAUUCUUGAAAUGCUCUUCUCAUGGGAGACAUUAAAUAAGCUUUGAAUUAACUGAGACCUCUGUGGAUUCUAUAACUCAAAGACCCAGGCUGACGGCUGGUGGAAUAGCUACCAUCUCAAACAUGGCGUGAUGCUGCAUCAGAGAGAAAAAUAAGCUCUUGCAUUGACAAUGAAAUGUCUACCCUGUAGUGACUUGUGCUUACUUCCACUCACAAGUGAUUGCCCAGAGCUACUUACCUGGCUCCAAUCUACCACUGGGUGUGUACUUGCAAUCUACCAUGUACCUAGAAGAUGAGAGAAACAAAUUAUUAAUGAUGACCACACCCCAAUACUAACAACAAUUGCAGAAGAAUCAAUGACUUAAACAAAAAUGUGGCCAUUGAAGGAAUAGAAAAUAUAGACCUUGUAUUGAAGACAGCGUAACCCCCAAGAGGAAAGGAGCUUGGAGCCCUGAAUCAGAGUAGAAGACAGGCUGAAUGAAUACCAGCCUUGGACUGUUGUGUGAAUGAAAAACAAGUUUUGAGAUUUGUGUGGUUUAUUUAUUAUAGUUACUGUUAUUAUUAAAGUUUUUCACUGCUUUACUCUCA